GGGGUGGAAUCAUGCGAAAGUUCAGGCAUC
RNAcentral lists this non-coding RNA (30 nucleotides) under Mus musculus (house mouse). Lineage: Eukaryota; Metazoa; Chordata; Mammalia; Rodentia; Muridae. The record is from RNAcentral.